RNAcentral lists this long non-coding RNA (6153 nucleotides) under Heterocephalus glaber (naked mole-rat). RNAcentral's name for it is "lncRNA (ENSHGLG00000047957.1)". Lineage: Eukaryota; Metazoa; Chordata; Mammalia; Rodentia; Bathyergidae. The record is from RNAcentral.
CCUCCCUGCCUGUUCCUCCGCCACCAGCUGCAGGGCAGCCAGAGUGGGCUCCAGGGACCAGCCGCCUUCCACGGGGCCUCCCAGGCCUGCCCAACCCUGGCAGGUCACCCCCGGUUUCCAAGGGGAGAAUGCACCCUGGUGAGCAGCCUGUGUGUGCGCACGCACACACACGCACGCACGCACGCGAGCACACACACACACACACGCACACAUGCACCCUCUGCCUCCCGGGACCUCUGUCUGUCUUGACAAAUCAUCAGAGCGGGACGUGAAGUGACAAAUUCUCAGCACGUGUGGCGGCUCGGGCCCUGCUUCAGAUGGGAUCGAAGUCACACGCGGCCCCUUUGUCCCUGUCCCUCCCGGCUGCCCCCACCCACCCGGUGCGGUCCUGCUGUGAGCGCCGCAGGCUUCCACCCCUGCCCACCUACAAAGGCUCUGCGGAGGCCACGAUGUCAAACUUCGCCCGAGGGGCUUUCCGAAAAGCGGGGGCGACGGGAGGGUACCGAGCCCAGCGCCCUGUCGCCGGCAGCCACAGCCAAGGCCCUUCCCUCUGACCCGGACCCUGCGUUGCACCCGGAACCGGAGCCCUGCGCCUGGCUGAGUACCGCCGCCUCCUGCGCCCAGGGCCGCUGAAGGGCAUCUGCAGCCCGGGGCAAAACAACUUUGUCUGGGCCAAGAGUUUCCGGCUUUGCCCUGCAAUCCCCGAAGCGGCAGCGCGGGUGCGGAAUGGUGAGUCGAGCGGGAGCUAUUCUUAGGAGAACGGAGUCAGCCUCGGCUUACCUGGGACGAGGGGCCCGCAGGCCCAGCCCGAGCGGAGGAGCGGAGGCCGAGAGAGGACUGCAGCGCUGUGUCAGAUUACACGGGGCGGGGGCGGGCAGGGGCGGCACCCGGCAGCGGCCAGGCCGAGGCGAGCCCGGCCCUGUGCGGCCCGGCUAGGAACGAUUCAUUAGUCUCCCGCAGGCUGGUCAGGGAAGGGGCCAGCCGCCACGCAGCGGCAGCUGGGCUGCGCAGCGUCAGUAGCCAGCACACACGGGCACGCACGCACACACACCAAGAUGGCUCUGUCCCCGCGCUGCCUGCCGGAGCCGCGGGUAGAGCUGUGGUCAGGAAGGAGCCAGCGGCGGCAGACACGGAGGCGGAGCCACUCGGCGGCCGUGGGGCUGCAGAUGCUCGGUGCAGAAGCCAGGCCAGGGCCUGCCUCCGGACGCACUGCCCACCACCUGGCCACCGCCCCUCCUCAGAACUGCCCGGCUGCUAGACUCACCGCUACCUAGCAACCGCGGUGCAGGGAGGUGCAGGGAGGUGCAGGGAGGUGCAGGGAGGUGCAGGGAGGUGCAGGGAGGUGCCGGGGUGCGUGUGUGGACUGCACGGCCAUGCACACGCACACGCGGACACACACGCACUUCCCCCCAAGUGGGGGGUUCCCGUCUGCUCUGCGGGACCCCCACACCCACAGGCUCAGGGUGCCAGGAAGAGGACUGGAGAGGCACAGGACACCAUGUGGCACCAUGGGCCCCUCGGCAGGGCGGGGGGCUGAGCGGCUUUGCUCCCCUUAAGUCGCAGAGCUGCUUCGGCCUCAGGCCUCACCUCGCACAUCACCUCGAGUGACCGCAGCACGCAGCACGUGGCCAGCCGGGCCUUCCUAGGCCAGAUGCAGUUUCCCCUCUGAAUCGUCCACCUCUGACUCACCCGCAGGAUGAGGCCCCAGACCCCAGGCUCACUGCCCCCGCCUCUCCCACAGAGCUGAUUUGCCCAACGCCUGGAAGCUGGGGCCAAGGGCCUGUGCUCCCCCUGUCCCUGGGGAGGGAGCCAGCAGCCCUUCAGCAGCAGCCGGGCAGGGUUAGCAGAGCCCCUCACCAGCAGCAGCACCAGCCACACAGGCAGAGGCAGGGACACCCCAAGAUGUGGUCUGUCCCUGCAGUGGAAUAGUACUCAGCCAUGAAAAGCAGCGGGAUCUAAUUUCACAUGCGCGGUGUGGACCCUGAAAACAUGGUGCUGAGGGAAUCACGACGCAGUCGGCUGCACAGGGUGCGACUCUGAUUUCAUGAAAUGUGGAACCCAUCGGGACAGGCCGGUCAGUGGUGGCCAGGGUGGCUGGGGAGGGGUUGCCAUACUCGGGGGUGACAACAGCCAGUGGCCCUGGGCGGGGUGGGGGCUGCACGGCGACGGAUGGGCGCACCCUGCACGACCAGCUCACACUAGCUCCUUCUAUGUUGUGGGAACCGACUGCAGGACCCAGCCCGACCUGGAGCCACGCGUGUGGCCCCACAGAGGCCAGGCCGCCCCCCCAGUGCACGAGGCCACAGGGCUGGACCAGAAGCACCCGGGCCCUCGGGGAGGACUGGAACCCAGCUUCUUGCCCGACUUCCUCAAAAACCCGGAGUCCAUGUUGGAAGUGGAUCUGUGGAUCCUGCCGGCCCUGGGUCCGAGCCUUCUGGAGCCCCAGAUGUGGUCUCAUGUGCAGGCACCGUGCCAUCCUGGGCGAGCACACGUGGGUGUCAGCCGGGUGGCCGCUCCGUCUCCACUGGGCCCAGCCCUAGCGCUGGACAGUGGGGCCCUCGAGGAGGUUGGAGCCCAGUGUCCUGCAGCCAGGCCAGGGUCCUCCCUGGGUCACCACUGAUGCCACAAAACUCAGAACUUCGUGCAUACAACUCUGGAAACCAACCGUGCUGAGCCCUCGGCAGCAGGUCCCCAGGGCGCCAAGCUUGAAGCCACCCGUCCCGGGCAGUGGGGACGAGUUCCCAUGAGGGGCACCUGCCAGGUCCAGGGACAGGGAGGCCCAGGAGGAAGUCAAGUGUGGGGCCAGGCACCAGCCACAGCUCCCGCCCUGGGCCCUGGAGGUCCCAGGCCACAACUGCCCCUCCACCUGGGGCGCCAGCACCCACUGCCCUCUAACAGUGCCUGUCCUGCCUCCGAAAGGCCCACAGCCAGACUGGUCAGCUAGGCCUUGGCAAGCACCUUCCUGGGGGCUGGGAGCAGUGGGGACUGAGUCCAGGAAGCACUGAGUUUCACCCCCUAAAUCCCUGGCCCCUUUUUUGUUUGAGGUACUUGGGUCUGAACCUAGCCUUUGCAGUAAGCUAUAUCCUCAUCCCUUUUUUUUAACCUUGAUACAGUGUCUUGCUAAUUUGCUGAGCUGCCAGACUGGGCUCCAACUGGGAUCCUCCCGCCUCAGCCUUCUGAGAAGCUGGGAUCACAGCCAUGGCAGGCCAGCUGUGGCAGCUCCCUGAAAGCAGGCGCUCACAGGAGCUGGGCAUCGUGCCAGGAGCUUUCUGGAAGGAGCGCGUGGUGCUCAAUGCUGUCUGCGUGAGAGCAGGGAACGAGGGCCAGGAAGCAGGUGUGCAGCAGGGCGCUGCAGUAGGCAGGAACACGGUCACUAACAAGGACCAGGCGGGGGCGGGUGCUGCGUGGGCUACGCAAGAUGACGGUCAUGCGUCAUCUCGUUCCAGCAAACAUAUGCAAUGUUGUAAACGGAUGUGUUUACUAUUUCGGGCAAAAAUCAGUAGCUUUCCUACGUAAGGGUGACGACCCACUGGAAACGGAAGAAAAAGCCCCUUACACUGAGCUCCAUCCCCAGCCCCUUUAUUCUUUGAGACAGGGUCUUGAUAAAUUGCCUGGGCUGGGCUGGAACCUGUGAUCCUCCUGCCUCAGCCUCCCAAGCAGCAGGGAAGGCUUCAUCACCACACCCAGCCAUGGUUGGAUUUUUAGCGGGUCUGGCAGCCCUUUGCUGGAUGAAUCCCAUAACCCAAAACACAGGGCUGCAGAGGGCCAGGCUGAGACACCCAUUUUGGCUUUGAAGAAUGCGUUCCAUCCUCUGGAGAGGGGAAAGUCCACACGCGGGUGGCAGCUAGGAGGUACGCUCCCCGCCCGUGCCCCUCCUGCAGGCUGAGGGUCCCCAGCCCCUGGGGGGAGGCAGCCCUGAGCCUGCUGCUGCCCCUCCUCCAAGGACCCAGGGGUGACCCUGCUGAGGACGACGGGCCCCGCCACCCGGCCCCGGAACCUUCCACAAACCCACGUCCCGAGCAAGCGGGCACCAGAUGGUGCCACCUGCCUGCCACCCACCGCCAGAUGGAGCUGCCACGCACCCCGCACUCUCGGCUCUCUGGCCUCCCCGGUGUGGGCCCAGCCACCUGGCUCCCUGCGGGACUCGCUCCAGGAUGGGCCUGCCGGACCCACCAUCCCAUCUGAGUCAGAGCACCCCGUCGACAUGUCCAGCUGCAGAUCCCAACACAGUGGCUGGCGGAGUGCAAACCCCUAUGCUGGGGCCCUGGAGUGGAGCUCAGCCACCAGGACUCCUUCCUGCAGUGUUGCUGAGGGGCAGCAAGCAGGAGCACCCUGAUUGGCUGGUUUCCCCCUGGAUGCGGCAUCCAGGCCACAGUGGUCAGGGCUCCAGACAGUUGAAGCCCGAAGAGCUCAGGGAGGCGGUCGGCCCAGCAGAACCCCGGACUUCCGGGCAGGGGUGGCAGGGGACAGCGCCCAAAGAUGCCCACGUGGGAUCCAACUGAGCAAGCCAAAUGGACUCAGAACGCCCCAGCCAGGCCCGAUCCUGCAACCUUUGAUGGACAGCACAGAGAGGACCUGGUCAUGGGACCCAGCUGUACCCACGGCCUGGAGACGGGGCUACCAUGGGUCCCCACAAAUCCUUUGAAAGGGUCUGCGUCAGCAGCGAAGGCCCUGAAAGAGCAGGAGUCCCCGGCAGGGGACAGGCCGGUGUCCACAUCCACAAGCCAGAGCCCUGCCCAGUGUGCAGUGGAUGGUGUCACAGCCAGCCUUGCCACCCCAGGACUCUGAGUCUGCAGUGCUGGUGCCCGUCCCCAGGAGAGAGCUGGUGUCCCCACCAUGGGCUUUGCUCCAUCCCUGCCCAGGCGUCUGUUAUCACAGAUUCCGAGUCGCUGCGCCUGCCCAGGGCUGGCUGGGGUGCAGACACUGCCGUGGCUUCUGAGGGUGGCGGGUCCAGGGGUCCCCGGCCCAGGAGGGAUGCGUGCUGGAUCAAGGGGCAGCAACCCCAUGGCUCCUUCCAGUAGUGGGGCCGGGGAAGCUGUCCCAUCCCCACUCCCCCUGCCGUCUCGGCUGUGCGUGGACGGUGGCUGAGUGGACGUCACCGACGGAGCUGUGCACACAGAUCCACAGAGGUGGGCACCGUGGCACAUGGAAGGCAGAACUCGCAGGCCAGCUCUGCACACCACGGUCAGCAGAUGACACUAACAGGUACAGAGCUCAGGGCAAAAGGACUGGAACAAAACACAACGCUGGGUCCGGGUAAAGGCGGCAGAAGUGAUGUGGGGGUGGGCAGACAGGAGGGCCAGGAGGGAGAAAGCCAUGGGCGAUAUUUAUGUGCACCAGCAGGAAACUGUUAUGUCUCAAAUAGAUACAUUUGUUUAAAUGUCCACAGAGUCGCUUAUACAUUCUCCCACUUCUACAAAUGUUAAAUUAGAAUAAAGGAUGUUUCCAUUGCAGUGAUCCCAUGCCACCCGGGGGACAGUGAUCACCGUCUCGGUCACCCGGGGCGUGCUGUCCAGGGAGCCUGUCUACACCAAGCCCCGCUGGGUGUGUCCAGCGCUGCCCAGCCCAGGCCGGCACCAAGGCAGGGGUGGGGUCUCCCGGGGCCUCUGGCCUUGGGUGUGGGAACACAGCCUUUCCGGGUGCAGGACUCAGGACGGAUGCUUCAGACAGGAGAAACCGGAGUGCACAGUGCAGGGCUCACCCUGGCCGCUCCAGUCCCUUCUAACCUCAUCCCCCGAGUGGCCAAGUGUGGUGAGGUUUCCUGGAGUGUGGAGUAAAAAAGGAAUGACUUGAAAGAAACGGAAGACAAUUAGACAAGAGGAAGGGGGUCUCGGGAAGGAGAGGGAGGGUAAUGAGGGGUGGAUAUGACCAAAAUAUGUUAUAUGCAUGUGUACCACCACGAGGAACCCCAAGGAAAAAGAACCAAUGCAAAAAAAGAGGAACUAGUGAGAUUAGUUCACUUUGCAUUCUCUUAUUUCCCAUUGUGAAUACGGAUAUGAUGGCUGGAGCUGUGGCAACUACAUUGUAACCAUGAAGAAAGGUCAAUAGAAUCAUGACAUUCCUGUAAUACCUGAGCCAUGGAUGUUGAGUCACUGCCGGCAGCUGUGCACUCAAACUGCUUCUUGAGGGAGAAAAUAAAGUCCUACUUAUCUG